AUUGAACGCUGGCGGCAGGCCUAACACAUGCAAGUCGAGCGGAUGAAGGGAGCUUGCUCCUGGAUUCAGCGGCGGACGGGUGAGUAAUGCCUAGGAAUCUGCCUGGUAGUGGGGGAUAACGUCCGGAAACGGGCGCUAAUACCGCAUACGUCCUGAGGGAGAAAGGGGGGGAUCUUCGGACCUCACGCUAUCAGAUGAGCCUAGGUCGGAUUAGCUAGUUGGUGGGGUAAAGGCCUACCAAGGCGACGAUCCGUAACUGUGCUGAGAGGAUGAUCAGUCACACUGGAACUGAGACACGGUCCAGACUCCUACGGGAGGCAGCAGUGGGGAAUAUUGGACAAUGGGCGAAAGCCUGAUCCAGCCAUGCCGCGUGUGUGAAGAAGGUCUUCGGAUUGUAAAGCACUUUAAGUUGGGAGGAAGGGCAGUAAGUUAAUACCUUGCUGUUUUGACGUUACCAACAGAAUAAGCACCGGCUAACUUCGUG
This 484-nucleotide ribosomal RNA is filed under the name uncultured bacterium. Its description in RNAcentral is "partial 16S ribosomal RNA". It matches the Rfam family "Bacterial small subunit ribosomal RNA", at positions 30 to 507 of the family's 1533-position model. The record is from RNAcentral.